AGCGAACGCUGGCGGCAGGCCUAACACAUGCAAGUCGAACGAACUCUUCGGAGUUAGUGGCGGACGGGUGAGUAACACGUGGGAACGUGCCUUUUGGUUCGGAAUAACUCAGGGAAACUUGUGCUAAUACCGAAUGUGCCCUUCGGGGGAAAGAUUCAUCGCCAUUAGAGCGGCCCGCGUCUGAUUAGCUAGUUGGUGAGGUAACGGCUCACCAAGGCGACGAUCAGUAGCUGGUCUGAGAGGAUGACCAGCCACACUGGGACUGAGACACGGCCCAGACUCCUACGGGAGGCAGCAGUGGGGAAUCUUGCGCAAUGGGCGAAAGCCUGACGCAGCCAUGCCGCGUGAAUGAUGAAGGUCUUAGGAUUGUAAAAUUCUUUCACCGGGGACGAUAAUGACGGUACCCGGAGAAGAAGCCCCGGCUAACUUCGUG
This 433-nucleotide ribosomal RNA is filed under the name uncultured bacterium. RNAcentral's name for it is "partial 16S ribosomal RNA". It matches the Rfam family "Bacterial small subunit ribosomal RNA", at positions 29 to 507 of the family's 1533-position model. The record is from RNAcentral.